ACGCUCGCUGGCGGAGGGAUGCCGUGAUCGCGGAGGUGGUUCUCCCAGGGGGAGACUUACCCACCACACGGAUGUGCUGACCCUGCGAUUUCCCCAAACGUGGGGAACUCGACAGCGUAAUUUGUGGUCGUGGGGGACUGCACUCCGCCUCCCU
Molecule: small nuclear RNA, 154 nt
Filed under: Panthera leo (lion)
Lineage: Eukaryota; Metazoa; Chordata; Mammalia; Carnivora; Felidae
Description: U1 spliceosomal RNA (ENSPLOG00000011233.1)
Rfam family: U1 spliceosomal RNA
About the family: U1 is a small nuclear RNA (snRNA) component of the spliceosome (involved in pre-mRNA splicing). Its 5' end forms complementary base pairs with the 5' splice junction, thus defining the 5' donor site of an intron. There are significant differences in sequence and secondary structure between metazoan and yeast U1 snRNAs, the latter being much longer (568 nucleotides as compared to 164 nucleotides in human).
Source: RNAcentral